This 776-nucleotide ribosomal RNA is filed under the name uncultured Neocallimastigales. Its description in RNAcentral is "partial large subunit ribosomal RNA". It matches the Rfam family "Eukaryotic large subunit ribosomal RNA", at positions 26 to 644 of the family's 3401-position model. The record is from RNAcentral. Lineage: Eukaryota; Fungi; Neocallimastigomycota; Neocallimastigomycetes; Neocallimastigales.
CGCAUCUGUGCAUGCAGCAUAUCAAUAAGCGGAGGAAAAGAAACUAACAAGGAUUCCCCUAGUAACGGCGAGUGAAGCGGGAAGAGCUCAAAUUUGAAAUCUUAAAGGGUUUCCCUUUACGAAUUGUAGUUUAAAGAAGUGUUUUCUGUUGAGGUUUUGGUAAAAGUUCUUUGGAAUAGGACAUCAUAGAGGGUGAGAAUCCCGUAUUUGACCUUUACUUUCAACUUUGUGAUACACUUUCGAAGAGUCGGAUUGUUUGGGAAUGCAGUCCAAAAUGGGUGGUAAAUUUCAUCUAAAGCUAAAUAUUGGCGAGAGACCGAUAGCGAACAAGUACCGUGAGGGAAAGAUGAAAAGAACUUUGAAAAGAGAGUUAAACAGUACGUGAAAUUGUCAAAAGGGAAGCGUUUGACACCAGGUGUUGUUUUUCUGAAAAUCAAUUAAAGAACUGUUUAUGCUAAGCUGUUUAGACUUUAUCAGCUAUACUGUUUAGUUUUGAGCUUUUCCUUAAUGCACUUUUCAGUUAACAAGUCAACAUCAAUUUCUUUUGCUGUAAAAAAGCUUGAGGAAGGUGGCUUGAGAUUCGUCUUAAGUGUUUAUAGCCUCUUGCCUAUGCAGUCGGAGAGAUUGAGGUCUGCAGCGUAGAUCCUUCGGGGCUAAAUGCAUUUGUGCUAAGUUAUAGCAUUUUAUAGACAACUUGUUGACUAUGAUUUGUCUUGUAGCUUACUCGCUUAUGUUAUUUUACCUACGCUUAGGAUGUUGAAUCUGUGCGAGACUAC